CGAGUCGGCAGGGCGGCCGCGUCGGCGGGACCUCCCGCCGCCGAGGAAAGUCCGGACUCCACAGGGCAGGGUGGUUGUUAACGGCAACCCGGGGUGACCCGCGAGACAGUGCCACAGAAAACAGACCGCCCGGUAUGCGCAAGUUGCCGGGUAAGGGUGAAACGGUGGUGUAAGAGACCACCAGCACCUCGGGUGACCGAGGUGGCUCGGUAAACCUCACCUGGAGCAAGGCCAAGAGGGCGCCGCAUGCGGUGUCUGCGCGAGCGAUCGAGGGCUGCCCGCCCGAUGCUCGCGGGUAGGCCGCUGGAGCCUGCCGGUGACGGCAGGCCGAGAUGGAUGGCCGCCACCCGGUGCGACCGGGAACAGGAUCCGGCUUACAUGCCGGCUCGUCCG
Molecule: RNase P RNA, 393 nt
Filed under: Kutzneria sp.
Lineage: Bacteria; Bacillati; Actinomycetota; Actinomycetes; Pseudonocardiales; Pseudonocardiaceae
Description: RNase P RNA component class A
Rfam family: Bacterial RNase P class A
About the family: Ribonuclease P (RNase P) is a ubiquitous endoribonuclease, found in archaea, bacteria and eukarya as well as chloroplasts and mitochondria. Its best characterised activity is the generation of mature 5'-ends of tRNAs by cleaving the 5'-leader elements of precursor-tRNAs.
Source: RNAcentral